UGGCUGUACCAACAACAGAUCGUGUGAUCAGGUUUCUCUGCAUCUUCACCACCGUUUGAUAUUUUCACCAUAUUUCAGGAGCAGUGUUCCAAGUUCAUUGAGAUGGGGAACUUGGAAAACUACAGAGCACUUGACUUUACUGGACGCUUCAUAAAGAUGCUGGUGUAUUGGUGGAACAGGCCUUGCCCACUUGGCAGACAUUGCAUGGAUAACACCCGUGGUCUCAACAAGAAGUACCUGGAGUGGGUAUCAAACAAAUGUCCAGAACGCUCAUACCUACUACCAGUGCCACUACCCGCCCUGCAUCAGGAUGGAGAAGCAGCUCCAAGAGUUUGGCAUCUGUGGGCGGUGCCAAGUGGCCUGCUACUGUGGCCCCCAGAAGACCCUGCCUGCCCACAGAAGCACAGC
This is a long non-coding RNA of Echinops telfairi (small Madagascar hedgehog), 408 nucleotides long. RefSeq lists it as uncharacterized. NCBI's taxonomy places the organism in Eukaryota, Metazoa, Chordata, Mammalia, Afrosoricida, Tenrecidae. The record is from RefSeq and is a predicted model, not a curated record. The transcript has 3 exons.